Molecule: small RNA, 143 nt
Filed under: Flavobacterium sp. 1
Lineage: Bacteria; Pseudomonadati; Bacteroidota; Flavobacteriia; Flavobacteriales; Flavobacteriaceae
Description: Flavo-1 RNA
Rfam family: Flavo-1 RNA
Source: RNAcentral
UUUUGCCCCUGAUGGAAAUGGAAAGCCUUUUACAGCAAUGGCGCAUUUUUUAUAAACAAAAAAGAGCUUCCGUUGGUCGCUCUUUUUUGUUUUUAGAAAAAUAUAGUAGUGCAAAAAGCUUGUAAUGAAUAUCAGGAUUAGGC